GACGAACGCUGGCGGCGUGCUUAACACAUGCAAGUCGAACGGAAAGGCCCUGCUUGCAGGGUACUCGAGUGGCGAACGGGUGAGUAACACGUGGGUGAUCUGCCCUGCACUUCGGGAUAAGCCUGGGAAACUGGGUCUAAUACCGGAUAGGAGCCAUUUUUAGUGUGAUGGUUGGAAAGUUUUUUCGGUGUAGGAUGAGCUCGCGGCCUAUCAGCUUGUUGGUGGGGGAAUGGCCUACCAAGGCGGCGACGGGUAGCCGGCCUGAGAGGGUGGACGGCCACAUUGGGACUGGGAUACGGCCCAGACUCCUACGGGAGGCAGCAGUGGGGAAUAUUGCACAAUGGGCGCGAGCCUGAUGCAGCGACGCCGCGUGGGGGAUGACGGCCUUCGGGUUGUAAACUCCUUUCGCUAGGGACGAAGCUUUUUGUGACGGUACCUAGAUAAGAAGCACCGGCUAACUACGUG
RNAcentral lists this ribosomal RNA (465 nucleotides) under uncultured bacterium. RNAcentral's name for it is "partial 16S ribosomal RNA". It matches the Rfam family "Bacterial small subunit ribosomal RNA", at positions 28 to 507 of the family's 1533-position model. The record is from RNAcentral.